RNAcentral lists this unclassified non-coding RNA (336 nucleotides) under soil metagenome. RNAcentral's name for it is "partial contains 5.8S ribosomal RNA, internal transcribed spacer 2, and large subunit ribosomal RNA". The stretch from base 1 to 120 matches the Rfam family "5.8S ribosomal RNA", at positions 35 to 154 of the family's 154-position model. The record is from RNAcentral.
GAUGAAGAACGUAGCGAAAUGCGAUAAGUAAUGUGAAUUGCAGAAUUCAGUGAAUCAUCGAAUCUUUGAACGCACAUUGCGCCCCUUGGUAUUCCGAGGGGCAUGCCUGUUCGAGCGUCAUUACACCACUCAAGCUAUGCUUGGUAUUGGGCGUCGUCCUUAGUUGGGCGCGCCUUAAAGACCUCGGCGAGGCCACUCCGGCUUUAGGCGUAGUAGAAUUUAUUCGAACGUCUGUCAAAGGAGAGGAACUCUGCCGACUGAAACCUUUAUUUUUCUAGGUUGACCUCGGAUCAGGUAGGGAUACCCGCUGAACUUAAGCAUAUCAAUAAGCGGGGA